Centruroides sculpturatus (bark scorpion) is the source of this 874-nucleotide long non-coding RNA. RefSeq lists it as uncharacterized. NCBI's taxonomy places the organism in Eukaryota, Metazoa, Arthropoda, Arachnida, Scorpiones, Buthidae. The record is from RefSeq and is a predicted model, not a curated record. The transcript is spliced from 3 exons.
UACAGAUGAGUACGAUGUUGAACAACCCUUGCACGUCUGAAUUCAUAACAUGCAUCAUCUUCAUCGAUGGAAUUUAACUGCUUCUUGUACAUGAGUGACUUUGGUGUUAUUGCAGCCAAUAAGUUCUCUUCUCAAUAAAUUUCCAUCAUACUCUAAAAAGCUUGAUGAUGAUCACUGAAUACGACUGAAAAUGUUAGCAUCAAAGCCUUUUUUGAUAGAUAUAUUGUGUAUCAGAGUUAAGUUAUGAUAAAAACUUCAACACUAAGAAUGGCAGCCUUUUAUGUGAAGUGAGCCAAUUUUUUCAAAAUUGCAAUAAAAAUCAAAUUUCCAAAGAGCUGCAGAAUAUGUAAACAAAAAAAUCUGUUUUAAAUACAAUAAAACUGUAGUCAACAACGUUUACUUUUUAAAAUACAAAAGUAAUAGAAUAAAUAGAAAUGGAUUAAAUGAUACUGAAUCUUGGAACUGUUUCAUUAUAAUAAUUACAUACUUCAUUAUUCUCCAGUAUCUAUCUACACUAUAUUCACUUUUACAGUUUUUAUUGUUUCAGAUGUUAAUUAUAUCAAGAAACUUCAAAAGAUUUUCUUAAAACUAGCAUCAAAUAUUUUUGCAGUUCAUGUUUUCUACUUGAAAAACCAAUUCUUUUUGUUUAUAUCUUAAUUUAACUACACAUUACAAGAAUACUUUGAUAUUUUAUUUACAAAAAUAUUCAUUUUUAGACACCCAUUGAAUCACCUGUCUCUCAAUCUUAAAUCAUAUUUUAAAAUUUAAUCCAAAAACAGAUUCAUGAAUACUUUCUACUAGUUAAGUGACUAAAAUCUUUCACAAUGUAUUUUGAUUAAGUAUAUUGAAUUUGUAAUAUAAGCUACAGAUUUUG